RNA transcript from Drosophila novamexicana, 868 nucleotides. RefSeq lists it as uncharacterized. The transcript has 2 exons. NCBI's taxonomy places the organism in Eukaryota, Metazoa, Arthropoda, Insecta, Diptera, Drosophilidae. The record is from RefSeq and is a predicted model, not a curated record.
AUUUGUUGUUGUUGUUGUUUGCCGUUGUUUUAUCGCGGCUUCGCAUCACAUUCGCUGCGUUUUGUUGCAUGCAACACAGCAUUUAAUGACUUGUUGUACGAAAUGCACACGCACUUUUGAUUUGUUUUAAAUAUCAACAAAUAUUUCAUAUAUAUCAAAACAAACAGUUCAAAACAAUCACAAUUAAAAUAACAUUAAAAAAAAACACCAUUUACGCACGCACAAAGUGAAAGAGAGAAACGGUGCUAAAGUAACGCGACACUCGGAAGAUGAGGAUACAUUGUAUAUGGAAAACUAAACCACAAACGCAACAAAAACAAAAAUAAAGACAAGACAGAAAAACGCAUUGGAAGGCGUCUGCGUUGUUUUCGUCUUCCCGCUUCGCUACCACUCGCUGACGCGCCUUUCUCACAACUGACGCUGCCGCCGCCGACGCAGCCGUUGCUACAGCGGCGGCGACAUGGUCACGAUAAAAAUGCGAGAGAGCGAUUGGCGAGAGAGUGAGAGAACGAUCGACGCUGUUUGCUUCAAAACAGGGCUGGAAGUUUGAAUUUUAGUUGAAAAUUUACAUUUAAAGGUCGCAGCCCUGUUCUAUUCAAGAGAGCACGCCACAGUGUAGCCAAGCGACGCUGCCAAAUAGAAACAGUGCUACCCAUGCGCGUUGACAAAGCCACCGAAUCGACAAUACAAGUCGGCAGCGUGAGCGAGAUGGCGCGACAAAGUGCAAGGAGCGUGAGAGAGCGAGUCAAGACUCAGUCAUGCGAACACACAAAUGCACUGCAAUUGAGAAUAUGCCCAAACAUACCAACACAUAAACACUUUAAUGCAUGAAUAUAUAAAUAAAUAUGUAUAUAGUAAGCGCAUGUAC